AUGGCGUUCGCCGACGAGUACCAGGGCGUGGAGGCCCACGGCAACACCAAGUUGCACGUCAUCCACACCAACGACAUGAAGCAGAUGGCGAUCACCCUCGCGCAGUACGAGCACCACCUCAGCCUCCAGCGCCACAAGAUGUGCAUCGUCUUCGACAACUUCCUCGCCGACCCCAAGUACACCUUUGCAGGCUUCUCCAUCGACGGCGACAAAAAAAGGCUAGAGCGCGUCAGUCUGGAGGUCGCCAACUUCGUCGACAUCCAGAAGGAGUUGGACUCCCUUGGAGACGUCUCCGGCAUGCUCAUCGACGACUACUACAACAACAUGAAGAAGAAGAUCACCGACGACAAGCACAAGCACUGGGCCACCCUGCCUCUGUCCAUGAGGCACAUCGAGUACGCGGCAAAGGACGCCUACGCAGCAUACGAGAUAUGGAACCGCAUCACCCUCACCCAGGACGGGCUUCGCCGUGCAAAGAUGGAGAAGGAGGAGCCCCCCAAGAAGCGCGCCGGGAGCAGCUGGGGAUGGGGAGACGCUAACUGGUGA
This 546-nucleotide ribosomal RNA is filed under the name Triticum aestivum (bread wheat). Its description in RNAcentral is "partial small subunit ribosomal RNA". Lineage: Eukaryota; Viridiplantae; Streptophyta; Magnoliopsida; Poales; Poaceae. The record is from RNAcentral.